This 19-nucleotide microRNA is filed under the name Macaca mulatta (Rhesus monkey). RNAcentral's name for it is "mml-miR-764". Its record names the gene mml-miR-764. The record is from miRBase by way of RNAcentral. Lineage: Eukaryota; Metazoa; Chordata; Mammalia; Primates; Cercopithecidae. RNAcentral also lists the same sequence under 3 other names.
GGUGCUCACUUGUCCUCCU